RNAcentral lists this ribosomal RNA (496 nucleotides) under uncultured bacterium. Its description in RNAcentral is "bacterial SSU rRNA". It matches the Rfam family "Bacterial small subunit ribosomal RNA", at positions 29 to 517 of the family's 1533-position model. The record is from RNAcentral.
AUUGAACGCUGGCGGCGUGCUUAACACAUGCAAGUCGAUCGGUAACAGGUGUAGCAAUACAUGCUGACGAGAGGCGGACGGGUGAGUAAUGCUUGGGAAUCUGCCUAUUAGUGGGGGACAACCCGGGGAAACUCGGGCUAAUACCGCAUACGCUCUACGGAGGAAAGCCGGGGACCGCAAGGCCUGGCGCUAAUAGAUGAGCCCAAGUCGGAUUAGCUAGUUGGUAGGGUAACGGCCUACCAAGGCGACAAUCCGUAGCUGGUCUGAGAGGACGACCAGCCACACCGGAACUGAGACACGGUCCGGACUCCUACGGGAGGCAGCAGUGGGGAAUAUUGGACAAUGGGGGCAACCCUGAUCCAGCGACGCCGCGUGGGUGAAGAAGGCCUGCGGGUUGUAAAGCCCUUUCGGUGGGGAAGAAAAGUCUCGACCUAAUACGUCGGGACCUUGACGUAACCCACUAAAGAAGCACCGGCUAACUCUGUGCCAGCCGCCG